UACAGAGGUCUCAAGCGUUGUUCGGAUUCAUUGGGCGUAAAGGGUGCGUAGGUGGCGCGCUAAGUCAGGUGUGAAAUUUCGGAGCUUAACUCCGAAACUGCAUUUGAUACUGGCGUGCUUGAGGACUGGAGAGGAGACUGGAAUUCAUGGUGUAGCAGUGAGAUGCGUAGAGAUCAUGAGGAAGACCAGUGGCGAAGGCGGGUCUCUGGACAGUUCCUGACACUGAGGCACGAAGGCCAGGGGAGCAAACGGG
RNAcentral lists this ribosomal RNA (253 nucleotides) under uncultured bacterium. Its description in RNAcentral is "partial 16S ribosomal RNA". It matches the Rfam family "Bacterial small subunit ribosomal RNA", at positions 524 to 776 of the family's 1533-position model. The record is from RNAcentral.